Molecule: ribosomal RNA, 1445 nt
Filed under: mouse gut metagenome
Description: bacterial LSU rRNA
Rfam family: Bacterial large subunit ribosomal RNA
Source: RNAcentral
CCCCGGGAGGGGAGUGAAAUAGAACCUGAAACCGCAUGCAUACAAACAGUAGGAGCUCCGCAAGGAGUGACUGCGUACCUUUUGCAUAAUGGGUCAGCGACUUACAUUCUGUGGCGAGCUUAACCGAAUAGGGGAGGCGCAGCGAAAGCGAGUUCGAAUAGAGCGAACAGUCGCAGGGUGUAGACCCGAAACCAGAUGAGCUAUCCAUGGCCAGGUUGAAGGUGUGGUAACACACACUGGAGGACCGAACCGACUAGUGUUGCAAAAUUAGCGGAUGAGCUGUGGAUAGGGGUGAAAGGCCAAACAAAUCUGGAGAUAGCUGGUUCUCCCCGAAAACUAUUGAGGUAGUGCCUCGUGUAUCGCUCCAGGGGGUAGAGCACUGUUUUGGCUAGGGGGACAUGGAGUCUUACCAAACCAAGGCAAACUCCGAAUACCUGGAAGUGUGAGCACGGGAGACAGAGCACCGGGUGCUAACGUCCGGACUCAAAAGGGAAACAACCCAGACCGCCGGCUAAGGUCCCCAAUAAUGGCUAAGUGGAAAACGAAGUGGAAAGGCCGUGACAACCAGGAAGUUGGCUUAGAAGCAGCCAUCCUUCAAAGAAAGCGUAAUAGCUCACUGGUCGAGUCUUUCUGCGCGGAAGAUGUAACGGGGCUAAGCCAUUAACCGAAGCCGCGGAUGCGGAGAUUAUUCUCUGCGUGGUAGGGGAGCGUUCUGUAAGUCUGCGAAGGAGUCUUGAGAAGGAUUCUGGAGAUAUCAGAAGUGCGAAUGCUGACAUGAGUAACGUUAAAGCGGGUGAAAAGCCCGCUCGCCGUAAGCCCAAGGUUUCCUGCUCUACGUUCAUCGGAGCAGGGUGAGUCGGCCCCUAAGGCGAGGCCGAAAGGCGUAGUCGAUGGGAAUCGGGUUAAUAUUCCCGAACCGCCGCCGAAUGCGAUGGGGUGACGGAGUUUAGAAGGUCAGCCGGGUGUUGGACGUCCCGGUGGGUGAGUGUAGGAGGUCUGCAGGCAAAUCCGCAGACGCAUCUCCGAGGCAAAGCCGCGAUCUGCUAAGGCAGAGAAGUGAUUGGACGAACUUCCAAGAAAACCCUCUAAGCGUCAGUUCGGCGGGACCGUACCGCAAACCGACACUGGUGGGCGAGCUGAAUAUGCUCAGGCGCUUGAGAGAACUCGGGAGAAGGAACUCGGCAAAUUGACACCGUAACUUCGGAAGAAGGUGUGCCUGAGUAACGUAGGCGCAGAGACUGCGCUCGCGUGAAAAGGUCUCAGAGAAUAGGUGGCUGCGACUGUUUAUUAAAAACACAGCACUCUGCCAAGUCGAAAGACGACGUAUAGGGUGUGAUGCCUGCCCGGUGCUGGAAGAUUAAUUGAUGGGCUGAGAGGCCUUGAUCGAAGUCCCAGUAAACGGCGGCCGUAACUAUAACGGUCCUAAGGUAGCGAAAUUCCUUGUC